Molecule: long non-coding RNA, 505 nt
Organism: Spodoptera frugiperda (fall armyworm)
Lineage: Eukaryota; Metazoa; Arthropoda; Insecta; Lepidoptera; Noctuidae
Exons: 2
Source: RefSeq, a predicted model, not a curated record
UAUAGGGGAAAGUGGGGUAAACGCGAACGCGGGGUAAACCCGAACCCAAUAGUUUUAAUAUGUUAGAAAGAUAUAGCCGUAUAUCACUCUCCGGUAACUCAAAGAUCACGCCACCACCAGUGCCAGUCAACGACACGGGAGACGCGGACGCAUGUACUUUUCAAGAUGCCCCGUAAUUAUAAAAGAAAAACUGAAACUAAAUUCAGUUGAGAGGAUCUCAAAAAUAUAUAGUCGAUGUUCAAACCAACAAACUCAGCACUGGCAGAGCAGCAAAUACUUAUAAUGUUCCAAAAACUACAAUUUGCCUUAGUAAUGUUAGUACGUAAUUACCCCACUUGAUGUUCGGCUUUACCCGACAUCAGUCGGGUAAAGCCGAACACUAAGGGUUUUGUUUUUUGGUCAUUUUGUUUUAUUUUAUUUAAAAAAAUAAUGAUGUUGAUUGGUAAUACGUUAGCUAGAUAAGUAAAGUUUAUAAUUCAAUAAUUAAAGAAACUCUGUGAUUUGA